This is a non-coding RNA of Planctomycetes bacterium GWF2_50_10, 85 nucleotides long. NCBI's taxonomy places the organism in Bacteria, Pseudomonadati, Planctomycetota. The record is from Rfam.
GGAGAGGUGUCGGAGCGGCUGAUCGAGCUGGUUUCGAAAACCAGUGUGCCUUCGGGUACCGGGGGUUCGAAUCCCCCCCUCUCCG